Non-coding RNA from Tauraco erythrolophus (red-crested turaco), 77 nucleotides. NCBI's taxonomy places the organism in Eukaryota, Metazoa, Chordata, Aves, Musophagiformes, Musophagidae. The record is from Rfam.
AUUGGCUGUUACAUGCAGCUAAUGAACUCCAAAAAGAAUGAAACCAUUUAGGUCCUGUAGUACUGACCUGUAAGUGU